GCCGACGUGGUGGAAUUGGUAGACACGCUAUCUUGAGGGGGUAGUAGCCCUAGGCUGUGCGAGUUCGAGUCUCGCCGUCGGCACCA
RNAcentral lists this transfer RNA (86 nucleotides) under Pseudomonadota bacterium. RNAcentral's name for it is "Proteobacteria bacterium tRNA-Leu". It matches the Rfam family "tRNA". From Rfam's summary of the family: Transfer RNA (tRNA) molecules are approximately 80 nucleotides in length. Their secondary structure includes four short double-helical elements and three loops (D, anti-codon, and T loops). Further hydrogen bonds mediate the characteristic L-shaped molecular structure. tRNAs have two regions of fundamental functional importance: the anti-codon, which is responsible for specific mRNA codon recognition, and the 3' end, to which the tRNAs corresponding amino acid is attached (by aminoacyl-tRNA synthetases). tRNAs cope with the degeneracy of the genetic code in two manners: having more than one tRNA (with a specific anti-codon) for a particular amino acid; and 'wobble' base-pairing, i.e. permitting non-standard base-pairing at the 3rd anti-codon position. Lineage: Bacteria; Pseudomonadati; Pseudomonadota. The record is from RNAcentral.